AGCAGCCAUAAUGUGUGUGGCUGUUGCUUCCCAAAAGCUCUUGUAGUCUAAAAGGAUCAAGACUCACAAUUUUCAGGAUGGUUGCCAUUCUGUUUGUUGUAACUGAUCUGCAAUAUUUUGGGAAAGGCAAAA
Sorex fumeus (smoky shrew) is the source of this 132-nucleotide small nucleolar RNA. The record is from RefSeq and is a predicted model, not a curated record. Lineage: Eukaryota; Metazoa; Chordata; Mammalia; Eulipotyphla; Soricidae.